UUAAGAAAAUCGAUACACUUUAUUAUCGUGAUAUUUUAUUUUGCAAUAUUGUAUUGAUUUUCAAAAACGCCAUUUAGAUUAAUUUUUUUU
Molecule: long non-coding RNA, 90 nt
Organism: Etheostoma spectabile (orangethroat darter)
Lineage: Eukaryota; Metazoa; Chordata; Actinopteri; Perciformes; Percidae
Exons: 4
Source: RefSeq, a predicted model, not a curated record